Molecule: ribosomal RNA, 441 nt
Filed under: uncultured Nitrospirota bacterium
Lineage: Bacteria; Pseudomonadati; Nitrospirota
Description: bacterial SSU rRNA
Rfam family: Bacterial small subunit ribosomal RNA
Source: RNAcentral
CCUACGGGAGGCAGCAGUGAGGAAUAUUGGACAAUGGGGGCAACCCUGAUCCAGCCAUGCCGCGUGAGUGAUGAAGGCCUUCGGGUUGUAAACUCCUUUUCUCAGGAAAAAUAAUGAUGGUACCUGAGGAAUAAGCCACGGCUAACUCUGUGCCAGCAGCCGCGGUAAGACAGAGGUGGCGAGCGUUGUUCGGAGUUACUGGGCUUAAAGGGCGAGUAGGCGGUGGGGCAAGUCUGAGGUGGAAUCCUAUGGCUUAACCAUAGAACUGCCUUAGAAACUGCUUUACUUGAGUCAGUGAGGGGAGGGCGGAAUUCCUGGUGUAGCGGUGAAAUGCGUAGAUAUCAGGAGGAAGGCCUGAGGCGAAGGCGGUCCUCUGGCACUGUACUGACGCUGAGGCGCGAAAGCGUGGGGAGCAAACAGGAUUAGAUACCCUAGUAGUCC